GCCCAGACUCCUACGGGAGGCAGCAGUGGGGAAUAUUGCACAAUGGGGGAAACCCUGAUGCAGCGACGCCGCGUGAGUGAAGAAGUAUCUCGGUACGUAAAGCUCUAUCAGCAGGGAAGAUAAUGACGGUACCUGACCAAGAAGCCCCGGCUAACUACGUGCCAGCAGCCGCGGUAAUACGUAGGGGGCAAGCGUUAUCCGGAUUUACUGGGUGUAAAGGGAGCGUAGACGGCUGUGCAAGCCAGAUGUGAAAGCCCGGGGCUCAACCCCGGGACUGCAUUUGGAACUGUGUGGCUGGAGUGUCGGAGAGGCAGGCGGAAUUCCUAGUGUAGCGGUGAAAUGCGUAGAUAUUAGGAGGAACACCAGUGGCGAAGGCGGCCUGCUGGACGAUGACUGACGUUGAGGCUCGAAAGCGUGGGGAGCAAACAGGAUUAGAUACCCGAGUAU
Molecule: ribosomal RNA, 447 nt
Filed under: uncultured bacterium
Lineage: Bacteria
Description: bacterial SSU rRNA
Rfam family: Bacterial small subunit ribosomal RNA
Source: RNAcentral